This 76-nucleotide transfer RNA is filed under the name Terasakiella brassicae. RNAcentral's name for it is "tRNA-Thr". It matches the Rfam family "tRNA". From Rfam's summary of the family: Transfer RNA (tRNA) molecules are approximately 80 nucleotides in length. The record is from RNAcentral. RNAcentral also lists the same sequence under 3 other names. Lineage: Bacteria; Pseudomonadati; Pseudomonadota; Alphaproteobacteria; Rhodospirillales; Terasakiellaceae.
GCCUCUAUAGCUCAGUUGGUAGAGCAACUGAUUUGUAAUCAGUAGGUCCGCGGUUCGAGUCCGUGUGGAGGCACCA